GGAAACGGGUUGUUUCCAUUAAAGAUGGCUGAAAAAUGGAAAUCUUUAAAUUUUCUUGGAUUGGAGAUCAAUAAUAAGCUGGUCAUGCAUUGUCUGGAUGCCAUUGUUGACUGCAAGAGAACAAAUGUGCAUUUCAUAUCAACAAAUGCAACUUCCACAUUUCGCUCUAUUGUUUCAACUUAUCCUGGACGAUUGAUUCUUGUUUCAAUACAG
Phalaenopsis equestris is the source of this 213-nucleotide long non-coding RNA. RefSeq lists it as uncharacterized. NCBI's taxonomy places the organism in Eukaryota, Viridiplantae, Streptophyta, Magnoliopsida, Asparagales, Orchidaceae. The record is from RefSeq and is a predicted model, not a curated record. The transcript has 3 exons.